RNAcentral lists this ribosomal RNA (370 nucleotides) under uncultured bacterium. RNAcentral's name for it is "bacterial SSU rRNA". It matches the Rfam family "Bacterial small subunit ribosomal RNA", at positions 527 to 896 of the family's 1533-position model. The record is from RNAcentral.
GUAUGGUGCAAGCGUUAUCCGGAUUUACUGGGUGUAAAGGGAGCGUAGACGGAGAAGCAAGUCUGGAGUGAAAGCCCGGGGUUCAACCCCGGGACUGCUUUGGAAACUGUUUUUCUUGAGUGCCGGAGAGGUAAGCGGAAUUCCUAGUGUAGCGGUGAAAUGCGUAGAUAUUAGGAGGAACACCAGUGGCGAAGGCGGCUUACUGGACGGUAACUGACGUUGAGGCUCGAAAGCGUGGGGAGCAAACAGGAUUAGAUACCCUGGAAGUCCACGCCGUAAACGAUGAAUACUAGGUGUCGGGGAGCAAAGCUCUUCGGUGCCGCAGCAAACGCAGUAAGUAUUCCACCUGGGGAGUACGUUCGCAAGAAUG